AUAGUACCUGUGAUGAAGAGAGUACUCCUUUUUUCUUUCCAAGCGAGCCGGAGGAUGGUGAAAGCCCGGUAAAGAAAAGAUGAGGAACCGGACUUCGGAGGUGCGGCAGUGAAUAUUCAGUAGCUAUCGCCGGGACGAACCCGUUAUCCUGAUUAAGUGGCCUUAGGGCUAAAAGAGUGGUACCGCGCGGAACCCCCACGUCUCUUUA
Molecule: non-coding RNA, 208 nt
Filed under: Salimicrobium flavidum
Lineage: Bacteria; Bacillati; Bacillota; Bacilli; Caryophanales; Bacillaceae
Description: T-box sequence
Rfam family: T-box leader
About the family: Uncharged tRNA acts as the effector for transcription antitermination of genes in the T-box leader family.
Source: RNAcentral